CCUACGGGUGGCAGCAGUGGGGAAUAUUGCACAAUGGGCGCAAGCCUGAUGCAGCCAUGCCGCGUGUGUGAAGAAGGCCUUCGGGUUGUAAAGCACUUUCAGCGGGGAGGAAGGCGUUAAGGUUAAUAACCUUGUCGAUUGACGUUACCCGCAGAAGAAGCACCGGCUAACUCCGUGCCAGCAGCCGCGGUAAUACGGAGGGUGCAAGCGUUAAUCGGAAUUACUGGGCGUAAAGCGCACGCAGGCGGUCUGUCAAGUCGGAUGUGAAAUCCCCGGGCUCAACCUGGGAACGGCAUUCGAAACUGGCAGGCUAGAGUGUGGUAGAGGGGGGUAGAAUUCCAGGUGUAGCGGUGAAAUGCGUAGAGAUCUGGAGGAAUACCGGUGGCGAAGGCGGCCCCCUGGACAAAGACUGACGCUCAGGUGCGAAAGCGUGGGGAGCAAACAGGAUUAGAUACCCUAGUAGUC
RNAcentral lists this ribosomal RNA (465 nucleotides) under uncultured Klebsiella sp. Its description in RNAcentral is "bacterial SSU rRNA". It matches the Rfam family "Bacterial small subunit ribosomal RNA", at positions 338 to 795 of the family's 1533-position model. The record is from RNAcentral. Lineage: Bacteria; Pseudomonadati; Pseudomonadota; Gammaproteobacteria; Enterobacterales; Enterobacteriaceae.